UUUAUAUUGACAAUUUUUUAGACACAUUUCCCUUCGGUCGACAAGUUCUCGUGUGCGUGGUUUCAGUCAGAGGGCUCGCUUGGUGGGAUAUAUGGAUUAUCCGGACUGGAGCCUGGUAGAUUGGAGUCUAUAGGUAGAACACGUUUUUCCUGAAAUCUUGUGUCAAUGUCCCAUCACAAUGUCCUUCAAUGUCCCUCACACCAAACCUCAAGGAAAUAGCAACGUGUUUUAACGACCAUCCUCUUUGCCACCACUACCAAAUGAUGGCCCGUCAUUGAUCUUCUAAUUAAUAUGUCCCUAAGUCAUCAGAAACGAAGGAUUAUUUCUCAGAGAGGAGACCAUAACAAAAAGUAUACUGUAUAGUUAUUAAUAUUGUCAGUAUGAUUGUACAAAAUACUCUAUUUAUUAAAUCCCCAUGAAUGCAAAUUAGUAAUUACAUACUGGAGUAUCCUUGUUACAAUAAAUAUAAUGGUAUACAUUUUAUUGUCAUUAGAUUCACUGUUGUGAGAAAUAAUGUUUCCUAAAGAAAUGUAUCCAAAAAUAUAAACUUUGCUUUGAGAAUGCCUGAUGUCAUCCUCCAUUCACUACUGUCAAUGAGCAAUUACA
Long non-coding RNA from Esox lucius (northern pike), 606 nucleotides. RefSeq lists it as uncharacterized. The transcript is spliced from 3 exons. The record is from RefSeq and is a predicted model, not a curated record. NCBI's taxonomy places the organism in Eukaryota, Metazoa, Chordata, Actinopteri, Esociformes, Esocidae.